Triticum aestivum (bread wheat) is the source of this 115-nucleotide non-coding RNA. Lineage: Eukaryota; Viridiplantae; Streptophyta; Magnoliopsida; Poales; Poaceae. The record is from Rfam.
CUUAUACUCCCUCUGUUCCAAAUUACUCGUCGCAGAAAUGGAUGUAUGUAGAACUGAAAUACAUCUAGAUACAUCCAUACCUGCGACAAGUAAUUUGAAACGGAGGGAGUAUCUU